AUCCAGAUGACGAGUCCCAAAGAGGACGAAAUGUGCAUCCUGGAU
Molecule: non-coding RNA, 45 nt
Filed under: Trichobilharzia regenti
Lineage: Eukaryota; Metazoa; Platyhelminthes; Trematoda; Strigeidida; Schistosomatidae
Source: RNAcentral